Molecule: ribosomal RNA, 423 nt
Filed under: uncultured bacterium
Lineage: Bacteria
Description: bacterial SSU rRNA
Rfam family: Bacterial small subunit ribosomal RNA
Source: RNAcentral
AAGACCUUGCGCUUUUGGAGCGGCCGACGUCUGAUUAGCUUGUUGGUAAGGUAAAAGCUUACCAAGGCUUCGAUCAGUAGCUGGUCUGAGAGGACGACCAGCCACACUGGGACUGAGACACGGCCCAGACUCCUACGGGAGGCAGCAGUGGGGAAUUUUGGACAAUGGGGGCAACCCUGAUCCAGCCAUGCCGCGUGAGUGAAGAAGGCCUUCGGGUUGUAAAGCUCUUUCAGCCGGAACGAAACGGUUACGGUUAAUACCCGUGACUACUGACGGUACCGGAAGAAGAAGCACCGGCUAACUACGUGCCAGCAGCCGCGGUAAUACGUAGGGUGCAAGCGUUAAUCGGAAUUACUGGGCGUAAAGCGUGCGCAGGUGGUUUUGUAAGUCAGAUGUGAAAUCCCCGGGCUUAACCUGGGAACU